GACGAACGCUGGCGGCGUGCCUAAUACAUGCAAGUCGAACGCUUCUUUCCUCCCGUGUGCUUGCACUCAAUUGGAAAGAGGAGUGGCGGACGGGUGAGUAACACGUCGGUAACCUACCCAUCAGAGGGGGAUAACACUUGUAAACAGGUGCUAAUACCGCAUAACAGUUUAUGCCGCAUGGCAUAAGAGUGAUAGGCGCUUUCGGGUGUCGCUGAUGGAUGGACCCGCGGUGCAUUAGCUAGAUGGCGAGGUAACGGCUCACCAAGGCGGCGAUGCAUAGCCGACCUGAGAGGGUGAUCGGCCACACUGGGACUGAGACACGGCCCAGACUCCUACGGGAGGCAGCAGUAGGGAAUCUUCGGCAAUGGACGAAAGUCGGACCGAGCAACGCCGCGUGAGUGAAGAAGGUUUUCGGAUCGUAAAACUCUGUUGUUAGAGAAGAACAAGGACGUUAGUAACUGAACGUCCCCUGACGGUAGCUAAACAGAAAGCCACGGCUAACUACGUG
RNAcentral lists this ribosomal RNA (508 nucleotides) under uncultured bacterium. Its description in RNAcentral is "partial 16S ribosomal RNA". It matches the Rfam family "Bacterial small subunit ribosomal RNA", at positions 28 to 507 of the family's 1533-position model. The record is from RNAcentral.